RNAcentral lists this long non-coding RNA (547 nucleotides) under Lupinus mutabilis. Its description in RNAcentral is "partial ncRNA". Lineage: Eukaryota; Viridiplantae; Streptophyta; Magnoliopsida; Fabales; Fabaceae. The record is from RNAcentral.
CUUUAAGCAACAAAUCACUAUAGCUUUUCUCCUUCUCUCCACUGCAACAAACAGGAUGACUUUUUGGAGAAAAAAGUACAACAUUCUUCUAAAUCACCCUUUCCAUUUUUUUGACACAAAGACCCUCACCCCUUAAUUUUUCAGAGUGCCCAGACGUUGAAAAGGGAAGAAAGUCACCUCCUUUUUCUCUUUCUUCUGCAAAACUUCUCUGCACCAUCCUAGAGUUACAGAGUACGGUUGCCAAAUCAUCAUCAUCCUCAUCCUCCAACACAACCGCUUUUCUCCCGUCACCACCUCUCACCGACCACUCACCCACCGCGUCAGAAUCAAUGGAUUCUGAAUCUUCAAAUCCGUCCAGCUCUCCACCAUGGUUAUUUUCAUCCUCCUCCUUCAUUGAUCUGGCCACCUCCUCUAAAAAAAUGUCAGCCUCCCUUUUUCCAACCAACACAUUGAUACUCCGACUAAUUCGAAAAGGAGAUGUGGUGGAUAGGCAGACGAAACCCACAUCUGCCCUCUUCAUCUUUUCUGUUUUUGGGCACACCCUAAU